CCUACGGGAGACAGCAGUGGGGAAUAUUGGGCAAUGGACGCAAGUCUGACCCAGCAACGCCGCGUGAAGGAAGAAGGCUGUCGGGUUGUAAACUUCUUGUAAGGGGGAAGAGCAGAAGACGGUACCCCUGGAAUAAGCCACGGCUAACGACGUGCCAGCAGCCGCGGUAAUACGUAGGUGGCAAGCGUUGUCCGGAUUUACUGGGUGUAAAGGGCGUGCAGCCGGGAAGACAAGUCAGAUGUGAAAUCCCGCGGCUCAACCGCGGAACGGCAUUUGAAACUUUUUUUCUUGAGUAUCGGAGCGGUCAUCGGCAUUCCUAGUGUAGCGGUGCUAUGCGUCGAUAUUAGG
RNAcentral lists this ribosomal RNA (348 nucleotides) under uncultured bacterium. RNAcentral describes it as "partial 16S ribosomal RNA". It matches the Rfam family "Bacterial small subunit ribosomal RNA", at positions 338 to 701 of the family's 1533-position model. The record is from RNAcentral.